GGUCAAUGAUGACUUAGUAAAAGGUCUGAGGGCACAGGGGAAUUACACUCUAUUACCCUUUUGGCUCCCAGCAGUCCCUGUUCUGUCAUGCUAUAGUAGAGCUAUGAUAGAGGAAGAGAUUGCUGACAAUUUGGGAUUAAUUCAGUUCCAGUUCUCCACAGUGAAGGGAGUUGUGGCACUGAAUGUUACCCAACAGAGCUGGUUAAGAGGAGCUCAUGGUAGUGGUGUGUCUUCAUUUUUUUUGUGUGUGAUCUAAAGUUUUCAAGCUGAGACC
Amazona collaria (yellow-billed parrot) is the source of this 274-nucleotide non-coding RNA. The record is from Ensembl. NCBI's taxonomy places the organism in Eukaryota, Metazoa, Chordata, Aves, Psittaciformes, Psittacidae.